Molecule: ribosomal RNA, 429 nt
Filed under: Actinomycetes bacterium
Lineage: Bacteria; Bacillati; Actinomycetota; Actinomycetes
Description: Actinobacteria bacterium partial 16S ribosomal RNA
Rfam family: Bacterial small subunit ribosomal RNA
Source: RNAcentral
UAGGGAAUCUUCCGCAAUGGGCGAAAGCCUGACGGAGCAACGCCGCGUGAGUGAUGAAGGUCUUCGGAUCGUAAAACUCUGUUAUUAGGGAAGAACAAAUGUGUAAGUAACUAUGCACGUCUUGACGGUACCUAAUCAGAAAGCCACGGCUAACUACGUGCCAGCAGCCGCGGUAAUACGUAGGUGGCAAGCGUUAUCCGGAAUUAUUGGGCGUAAAGCGCGCGUAGGCGGUUUUUUAAGUCUGAUGUGAAAGCCCACGGCUCAACCGUGGGGGGUCAUUUGGAACUGGAAAACUUGAGUGGAGAAGAAGAAAGUGGAAUUCCAUGGGUAGCGGUGAAAUGCGCAGGGGUAUGGAGGAACCCCAGUGGCGAAGGCGAAUUUCUGGUCUGUAACUGACGCUGAUGGGCGAAAGCGUGGGGAUCAAAAAGG